AAAACGAUUGAUAAAAAUUUAAUAUUUAUAAACCACCCCUAAUCCCCGUUCUCUCUCAUCUCUCUUGGGCGGCCGAAAAUUGCUUUCGUCGCCCGUUGUCCCCCCUCCGCCUUCAUACCACCGUGGACCAUCGUCUGACCGCCGCCAAAAAUUGCCUCACGGUGGUGGCCCAAAAUUUUCACCAGAUACUUCUCACUCCUCCUCAUCCCUAAUCUGUCAACCAUUUCCUCAAAAAUCCACCCAAACUCCAUGAUUAGUGGAUCUGAGAAUUUAAGAAAAAUUGAAACUGCCCCUUUCUUGAUUCCUCUUCAAUUCUUACCCCGUCUGAGGUUAAAAUUCACACCAAUCGACAUCUCUUGAUGAGUACUGGCGAUUGGUGGUGGUUUCGUCUCAUUUCAUGGCCAUCGGGUCCCGGUCAAAUUCUAGUUGACCGUCCAGUCCUCUCAAAGCUUCUUCGUUCUUCACCUCCAGCAUGCAGGACCUAUUUCUACAUAUAGCAUUGGCCAGCGUGACAAAUUUCGGUUGGAGCUUGUGUAGCAAUCCUCUGGCUCGUCGGAAUUUCCUCUUGACAGCCCGUUUGAUCCAUUAGUAAAUUUGUUAGAGAUCGGGUUUGAGUUUGGUAGCCACUGAAGUUUUUCAGCACAUGAGUUUGAAGGUUGAAUGAAGAGUCUAAACUUGUACGAGUCAAAGGCAUUAGGAGAUAUGAAUUAAUUAUCUGAAACCUUAUUUGUUAUGACAUUGUUUAAUUCCAGAAAUGUAGGAUGUUAGUUCAUAAAAGUGUUUGUUAUUAUAAAUUCAAGUCAUGAUUUCUGAUGUAGUGAAUUGGUGUUGUAAUUUUAAAUCCGGAUGAACAUGUACUCAUGCUUAGAUUAGUUCAUACAUAUUUCAUUUUUUGCAA
This is a long non-coding RNA of Nicotiana tabacum (common tobacco), 898 nucleotides long. RefSeq lists it as uncharacterized. The record is from RefSeq and is a predicted model, not a curated record. NCBI's taxonomy places the organism in Eukaryota, Viridiplantae, Streptophyta, Magnoliopsida, Solanales, Solanaceae.